AGUGUUUGUCUUCACUAUUCAUCUUGCACUGACUAUGAACUUUGUUUUGUUAAUUCAUUUUAUAGGAUUUUAAUUGAGAAUAAUUGAGACUGGGAUCUGAAAAGCAAGUUUCUACAGUCCACAGAGUCAUCACGAUCAGAAUAUCAUUGGCAUUUAACUGUGAAAGGAGAAAGAGAUAUGACUCCAGUGGCUUCAUGGGGACUACAACUCCCACAAUCUCUGAAGCAGGGACCACACGUGUGUGGGGAAACCCGGCACUGUACAUGUAUAGAAUGUGGGCGGGUUUUGGAGCAUGUGCUUUGGGGUGCUAGAUAGUGAAGAUUUGCAGACUGAAAUAUCAACAUCAUGUGCGGAUCGUGAUAACGUUAACCAGCAUGUGAAGAACCAAAGAUGGAGAAUCACACGGCCAAAAUCCUGCAACUCUCUCCCUCCCAGCAUUAACGGUCUAUCUGCGCCAAAUGGACUGUGAAU
Molecule: non-coding RNA, 471 nt
Organism: Chiloscyllium plagiosum (whitespotted bambooshark)
Lineage: Eukaryota; Metazoa; Chordata; Chondrichthyes; Orectolobiformes; Hemiscylliidae
Source: RefSeq, a predicted model, not a curated record